This 432-nucleotide ribosomal RNA is filed under the name uncultured bacterium. RNAcentral describes it as "partial 16S ribosomal RNA". It matches the Rfam family "Bacterial small subunit ribosomal RNA", at positions 29 to 506 of the family's 1533-position model. The record is from RNAcentral.
AACGAACGCUGGCGGCAGGCCUAACACAUGCAAGUCGAGCGAGAUCUUCGGGUCUAGCGGCGGACGGGUGAGUAACGCGUGGGAAUAUGCCCUUCUCUGCGGAAUAGCCUCGGGAAACUGAGCGUAAUACCGCAUACGCCCUUUGGGGGAAAGAUUUAUCGGAGAAGGAUUAGCCCGCGUUGGAUUAGGUAGUUGGUGGGGUAACGGCCUACCAAGCCGACGAUCCAUAGCUGGUUUGAGAGGAUGAUCAGCCACACUGGGACUGAGACACGGCCCAGACUCCUACGGGAGGCAGCAGUGGGGAAUCUUAGACAAUGGGGGCAACCCUGAUCUAGCCAUGCCGCGUGAGUGAUGAAGGCCUUAGGGUUGUAAAGCUCUUUCAGCUGGGAAGAUAAUGACGGUACCAGCAGAAGAAGCCCCGGCUAACUCCGU